GAAAAGAAACCAACAGGGAUUGCCCCAGUAACGGCGAGUGAAGCGGCAACAGCUCAAAUUUGAAAUCUGGCCCCUAGGGCCCGAGUUGUAAUUUGCAGAGGAUGCUUUUGGCGAGGUGCCUUCCGAGUUCCCUGGAACGGGACGCCAUAGAGGGUGAGAGCCCCGUCUGGUCGGAUGCCGAGCCUCUGUAAAGCUCCUUCGACGAGUCGAGUAGUUUGGGAAUGCUGCUCUAAAUGGGAGGUAUAUGUCUUCUAAAGCUAAAUACCGGCCAGAGACCGAUAGCGCACAAGUAGAGUGAUCGAAAGAUGAAAAGCACUUUGAAAAGAGGGUUAAAUAGUACGUGAAAUUGUUGAAAGGGAAGCGCUUAUGACCAGACUUGGACCCGGUGAAUCAUCCAGCGUUCUCGCUGGUGCACUUUGCCGGGCUCAGGCCAGCAUCAGUUUGCCUUGGGGGAUAAAGGCUUUGGGAAUGUGGCUCCCUCGGGAGUGUUAUAGCCCAUUGCACAAUACCCUGGGGCGGACUGAGGUUCGCGCAUCUGCAAGGAUGCUGGCGUAAUGGUCAUCAGCGACCCGUCUUGAAACACGGACCAAGGAGUCGUCUUCGUAUGCGAGUGUUCGGGUGUAAAACCCCUACGCGUAAUGAAAGUGAACGCAGGUGAGAGCUUCGGCGCAUCAUCGACCGAUCCUGAUGUUCUCGGAUGGAUUUGAGUAAGAGCAUACGGGGCCGGACCCGAAAGAAGGUGAACUAUGCCUGUAUAGGGUGAAGCCAGAGGAAACUCUGGUGGAGGCUCGCAGCGGUUCUGACGUGCAAAUCGAUCGUCAAAUAUGGGCAUGGGGGCGAAAGA
RNAcentral lists this ribosomal RNA (844 nucleotides) under Metarhizium macrosemiae. RNAcentral's name for it is "Metarhizium sp. YL-2021a partial large subunit ribosomal RNA". It matches the Rfam family "Eukaryotic large subunit ribosomal RNA", at positions 56 to 930 of the family's 3401-position model. Lineage: Eukaryota; Fungi; Ascomycota; Sordariomycetes; Hypocreales; Clavicipitaceae. The record is from RNAcentral.